GAUGAACGCUGGCGGCGUGCCUAAUACAUGCAAGUCGAGCGAACGGACGAGAAGCUUGCUUCUCUGAUGUUAGCGGCGGACGGGUGAGUAACACGUGGAUAACCUACCUAUAAGACUGGGAUAACUUCGGGAAACCGGAGCUAAUACCGGAUAAUAUUUUGAACCGCAUGGUUCAAAAGUAAAAGACGGUCUUGCUGUCACUUAUAGAUGGAUCCGCGCUGCAUUAGCUAGUUGGUAAGGUAACGGCUUACCAAGGCAACGAUGCAUAGCCGACCUGAGAGGGUGAUCGGCCACACUGGAACUGAGACGCGGUCCAGACUCCUACGGGAGGCAGCAGUAGGGAAUCUUCUGCAAUGGGCGAAAGCCUGACGGAGCAACGCCGCGUGAGUGAUGAAGGUCUUCGGAUCGUAAAACUCUGUUAUUAGGGAAGAACAUAUGUGUAAGUAACUGUGCACAUCUUGACGGUACCUAAUCAGAAAGCCACGGCUAACUACGUG
Molecule: ribosomal RNA, 497 nt
Filed under: uncultured bacterium
Lineage: Bacteria
Description: partial 16S ribosomal RNA
Rfam family: Bacterial small subunit ribosomal RNA
Source: RNAcentral